Molecule: small RNA, 83 nt
Filed under: Cricetulus griseus (Chinese hamster)
Lineage: Eukaryota; Metazoa; Chordata; Mammalia; Rodentia; Cricetidae
Source: RNAcentral
CUCCCAACCAAGUACUUACCCAGCCCGACCCUGCUUAGCUUCCAAGAUGAGAUGAGAUUGGGUGUGUUCAGGGUAGUAUGGCC